CCCGAGGUGCCGGCGCCGUCUUCUUCAAGUCCGGCGACAAUCCCUCCUCUGUCCUCCGGUGAGCAAUUCUCAACCGCCCGAUCUCUCUCUCUAACGGUCCAGAUUAAAUCAUGUUCUGUUUUUUCUCUCUCGAAUAGGCAUGCGCUAUUUAGUGGCCGUACGCUGUUUAGCCAUCACAGCGAACACGCUCCAGCCAAUCCCGUCUCGCCACGUGGCACAUCCACAGCUGCCGCAGCAGUUCUGCCAGAAAUCUGUUUUAGCACAAUUUAUUUUGGCAGAUUCCAUAUCAAAUGUUCGUUUAGGUAUAUCUUGAGACCCGUAUGUCCAAAUUCAUCGAUUCUUUUUCCUGUGUACUCAUAGUGACCAGGAGAAUAUUGUAGAACCAAAAUUUUACAUUUUUUAACAGUUCAAAUUCGAAUUUGUUUAAAUUUGAUUUCAAACUUCCGGAGGCCAUAUCUUUCAAACCGUUGAUCUAAAUAUGCAUUGUGAUCCUACUAGCAUGUAGAUAAUAGAUACCUACUGAUAUGUUCUGUUAAUUAAAUUUUUAUUUGAAUUCCUUGAUGUUGACUUUAAUGUGGUGUUAUGUGAGUACGAUUUAUUUAUCGGUGCCUUCGUUAUCGUAUAGAUUGUCCGGAGUGUGAAGCGGAUCAGAAUUAUGCGUUAGAGUACUAAAACACCGCUCAAGGCAAGUUUGCACUUUUGAUUUUGCUCAUCCUAUAUUCUGCUAUGCAUGUGUGGUUUUAUGCUAUGAUAUAUGUUUGGUUUGAUAUAUGUAUCCUGUGUUGUCAUGUUUUGGUAUUGAUUGUGUUAUGUGAUGGUGUGAUCAACUUGCUAUGAUAGACGUGGGCAUGUGUCGAGUGAUCCAUGAAAUUGGCGAGUGUUUAUAACCGUAGGCUCGGGAUUAUUAACCAGGUGAAUGCGUCACUGGCAGAGCGCUCUAUUGUCCCUAGAGAAUGCGCCAUUGACAGAGCGCACUUGAGGCGAGGUAUAGUUAUCAGAACUUAAAUCAGGUGAAUGCGUCCUUGGCAGAGCGCUCUAUGGUUCCUAGAGAAUGCGCCAUUGACAAAGCGCACUUGAGAGAUACUUCUGAAGUUCCUGUCAUGUUUAUUUAGAAUCUUUGGGUUAUCUUGGGCGAGUAAAUUAGAGAGGGUUGUGAGUUCAGGUAGUGGAGGUAGGUGAAGACAUUCUUCUCCAAACUAACUUGUGUGUUUUGUUUGUCAUACAUUGUUUUGUGGAUGUAGGUUUGCUAUAUCAUAUUGUGUGAUUUGCCAAUACAUUCAAUGUAUUGACCCUUUGUGGCUGCAACUUAUCAUGUUGCAGGAUAUUCAGGUGAUCAGUGAGAUACAGUAGGGUCGCGAGUCUUCACUCAACAUGUUCUCCAGUGGGCAUUGAUGGACUCAUCGUUUAUUAUGCUACCUUUCCGCUGGUAUUAUUGAAUAAAGCUAGCUAUGUGCUAUUCACUUUGUAAUACAUUAUAAUUUCUGGAUCAUACGUUUUAGUAAAUGAUGCACUUGUUACUUUGAUAUUCCUAUGUACUAUGUGUGCUAGCG
Molecule: long non-coding RNA, 1550 nt
Filed under: Triticum aestivum (bread wheat)
Lineage: Eukaryota; Viridiplantae; Streptophyta; Magnoliopsida; Poales; Poaceae
Description: long non-coding RNA (TAES_LNC008751)
Source: RNAcentral